This 445-nucleotide ribosomal RNA is filed under the name uncultured bacterium. Its description in RNAcentral is "partial 16S ribosomal RNA". It matches the Rfam family "Bacterial small subunit ribosomal RNA", at positions 354 to 796 of the family's 1533-position model. The record is from RNAcentral.
GUGAGGAAUAUUGGUCAAUGGGCGAGAGCCUGAACCAUCCAAGUCGCGUGAAGGAAGAAGGAUCUAUGGUUCGUAAACUUCUUUUGCAGGGGAAUAAAGUGCAGGACGUGUCCUGUUUUGUAUGUACCCUGAGAAUAAGGAUCGGCUAACUCCGUGCCAGCAGCCGCGGUAAUACGGAGGAUCCGAGCGUUAUCCGGAUUUAUUGGGUUUAAAGGGUGCGUAGGUGGUUUGAUAAGUCAGCGGUGAAAGUUUGCAGCUUAACUGUAAAAAUGCCGUUGAAACUGUCGGACUUGAGUGUAAAUGAGGUAGGCGGAAUGCGUGGUGUAGCGGUGAAAUGCAUAGAUAUCACGCAGAACUCCGAUUGCGAAGGCAGCUUACUAAGCUACAACUGACACUGAAGCACGAAAGCGUGGGGAUCAAACAGGAUUAGAAACCCUAGUAGUCC